UACGGGAGGCAGCAGUGGGGAAUAUUGCACAAUGGGCGCAAGCCUGAUGCAGCCAUGCCGCGUGUAUGAAGAAGGCCUUCGGGUUGUAAAGUACUUUCAGUCGUGAGGAAGGUGUUAAGGUUAAUAACCUUAGCAAUUGACGUUAGCGACAGAAGAAGCACCGGCUAACUCCGUGCCAGCAGCCGCGGUAAUACGGAGGGUGCGAGCGUUAAUCGGAAUUACUGGGCGUAAAGGGCACGCAGGCGGUUAAUUAAGUUGGAUGUGAAAUCCCCGGGCUUAACCUGGGAAUGGCAUUCAAGACUGGUUAGCUAGAGUCUUGUAGAGGGGGUUAGAAUUCCAUGUGUAGCGGUGAAAUGCGUAGAGAUGUGGAGGAAUACCGGUGGCGAAGGCGGCCCCUGGACAAAGCUGACGCUCA
Molecule: ribosomal RNA, 415 nt
Filed under: uncultured bacterium
Lineage: Bacteria
Description: bacterial SSU rRNA
Rfam family: Bacterial small subunit ribosomal RNA
Source: RNAcentral